Molecule: ribosomal RNA, 207 nt
Filed under: uncultured bacterium
Lineage: Bacteria
Description: partial 16S ribosomal RNA
Rfam family: Bacterial small subunit ribosomal RNA
Source: RNAcentral
CGCGUAGGCGGCUUUGUAAGUCUGGAGUGAAAGUCCUCUUUUCAAGGGAGGAAUUGCUUUGGAAACUAUAGAGCUUGAGUGCAGGAGAGGUUAUCGGAAUUCCCGGUGUAGCGGUGAAAUGCGUGGAUAUCGGGAGGAACAUCGGUGGCGAAGGCGGGUAACUGGACUGCAACUGACGCUGAGGCGCGAAAGUGUGGGGAGCAAACA